RNAcentral lists this unclassified non-coding RNA (259 nucleotides) under plant metagenome. RNAcentral describes it as "partial contains small subunit ribosomal RNA and internal transcribed spacer 1". The stretch from base 1 to 46 matches the Rfam family "Eukaryotic small subunit ribosomal RNA", at positions 1786 to 1831 of the family's 1831-position model. The record is from RNAcentral.
AAGUCGUAACAAGGUUUCCGUAGGUGAACCUGCGGAAGGAUCAUUAUUGAAUUGUGAAUGGGGCUUGAUGCUGGCUUGUCCAUCCUUUGGCUGCAUGUGCUCGCCCCAGCAAUCCUUUUCCAAACACCUGUGCACCUUCCUUGUGAGAAUGGGAGAGAAAGGGCUUGCCUCUUUUAUCUCGUCUCAUGAUUCAUAACGCUAGUUUGUUAAUGAUUGUAAUGACAUUUAUGCCGUUCCAAGGUCUUUAAACCGUAAUUAA